This 72-nucleotide transfer RNA is filed under the name bacterium. Its description in RNAcentral is "tRNA-Thr". It matches the Rfam family "tRNA". Rfam says of the family: Transfer RNA (tRNA) molecules are approximately 80 nucleotides in length. RNAcentral also lists the same sequence under 2 other names. The record is from RNAcentral.
GCUCCGAUAGCUCAGAGGUAGAGCGCCUCCUUGGUAAGGAGGAGGUCCCGGGUUCAAAUCCCGGUCGGAGCU